GCGUUUAUGGUGAAGUUGGCUAACACACCUGACUGUGACUCAGGCACUCGUGGGUUCAAGUCCCACUAAACGCCCCA
This 77-nucleotide transfer RNA is filed under the name Mycoplasmoidaceae bacterium. Its description in RNAcentral is "tRNA-His". It matches the Rfam family "tRNA". From Rfam's summary of the family: Transfer RNA (tRNA) molecules are approximately 80 nucleotides in length. Their secondary structure includes four short double-helical elements and three loops (D, anti-codon, and T loops). Further hydrogen bonds mediate the characteristic L-shaped molecular structure. tRNAs have two regions of fundamental functional importance: the anti-codon, which is responsible for specific mRNA codon recognition, and the 3' end, to which the tRNAs corresponding amino acid is attached (by aminoacyl-tRNA synthetases). tRNAs cope with the degeneracy of the genetic code in two manners: having more than one tRNA (with a specific anti-codon) for a particular amino acid; and 'wobble' base-pairing, i.e. permitting non-standard base-pairing at the 3rd anti-codon position. Lineage: Bacteria; Bacillati; Mycoplasmatota; Mycoplasmoidales; Mycoplasmoidaceae. RNAcentral also lists the same sequence under 1 other name. The record is from RNAcentral.